Long non-coding RNA from Setaria italica (foxtail millet), 2378 nucleotides. RefSeq lists it as uncharacterized. Lineage: Eukaryota; Viridiplantae; Streptophyta; Magnoliopsida; Poales; Poaceae. The record is from RefSeq and is a predicted model, not a curated record. The transcript is spliced from 2 exons.
CCCAUUCCGUCCAUUUCCGACGCCCCAAACCAAACCCUCGAUCCCCUUCGCCGGCGGUGGCGCAGAUCCUCGUCCGGCGACCUCGUCCGCGCCUGCGCCACCUUCCGCCGCCGCCACCGCUCCUCCUCGGGUUCUUCGGGGUCCCCUCCGGCUUCAUGCCCGCGGAAGCGCCCCACCCCGACGCGCCGGCCGCCGCGUUUUUCAGGUACCACGAUCCGAGUAUUUCCACUUUACCCCCGACUAUUUACAUAUAGCCCCCUAAUUUGGAUCGCGAUGAAUAAUCGCUAUCCGAAUGGUUCUAUUUUACCCCCUACUAUUUACAAAUACCCCCCUAAAUUGGAUCGCGAUUAAUAGUCGCGAUCCGAUUAUUUUCAUUUAGACCCCUAAGUAUUUUCAGAUAACCCCCUGAUCGUGCUCCGCUCCUCCUCCGCCCGUCCGCCGCCGCCCUCGACGCCGGAAUCACGAAGCCCCGCCUCGGCACCAGUCCCCGUCUCAGUCUGUAGGACCAUCCCCCAGCAAUCCCUCCACCCGCAGCAAGAAUGGAGGGCAGCGCGCGGUUCGAUGCCGCACCCGGCCGCGCGUUGCGAGCCGCCGGGCGGGCAUCGGGGCAUGGCGGCAACCGCGAAUUCCGAUUGGGAUAGGGCACCCCAGCCGUCUCCGUGUACCAGUCUUCACCCAAGCAAGAACCGAGCAGCGCACGCUCGAAGCAAUUGUGUGGUGGGUUCAGAGCAGAGCGUGUACAGUUUCUUUAGGCAAUUCACAGCAGAGAGGAUCUUGGCCGCGGUGUUGCUCGCCAUUUCCUGUUCGGGUCGAGCACGUUGGCCGUUUUGAUGCCUUCUUUGUCCAUUCGGGAGACUACGAGGAGGCACAAUUCAGGGUGAUUGGCUGGAUACACUGCGAAGCAAUGGCUGCGGUAUUUGUCUACCCUUCGCUUUCUGUCACCUGGACUGCUGGUACUUCCGCCAGUUGGGAAGCACUAGGCUUGCACCAAGAAGAACGCAUGACACCGCCGAGUUGGUGGUCCAGUUAUGUGUAUGGGUGCUUGUACUGCAAAGCACUCAAGAGCAACAAGUUUCUUAAGCUUGACGUUAACAGGAUGGAGUUCUCAGCUGUUAGCCUUCUGCCUAACCAUGAAAAUCGACAGGUUCUUGUUGUGGAAGCUGGCGAAGGAAAGAUUGGGAUACCUGGUCGCAUUUUUGGUCAAGAAAUUCCUGAGUCUUGGCGCUACUCCAUUAGAAGGAUAUAUUGUCCUACGAGGCUCAAGAUACAUUUACAAAACAAGUCACUAGCAUUCUCUGUGGAGGAAGUGCGUUUUCCACACUUGAGAUCAAGACAUCGAAGAUUGAGAGGGUCUGUUCAACAUGUGGUGGUGGAUGUGGCCAUAUCCUUCCCUACUUUGUGCUCCCACCAUUCAUGUCACCGAGAAGGAUAUGACACAGCAAGUCUUUAACAUAGUUUUUACUACCCUUUUGCAUUCUUCUUUGAGGUCCUAUUGCAGUACAUGACAUAGGAUGAUGUUUUAUUUUUGUUGUGUGUUUGUUUUGCCUAUCCACAAUGUCAUGUGCACCAUGAAUUGCAGGUGCUCAAAAUCUUCUCUAGGUGAUGUAGUGUGUGUACGCCUCAAUUCAAGCGCAUUUAAUUUCUUCUAGAAAACUGAAGUUUAAGAAUUAUGUAGCACUGAGCAUUCAGCUAGAUACAGGAACAUGUUACAUGUAUGUAGCAGAAUGCUGCCUACAGAAUAGCUAUUAUAAUUUGUUACUAAUUCAGCGCUAUGCCAAAUCAUUUUCUUUAUGAAUUGAAUACAUUUUCAAUUUUCAGAUUGCUACAACAGAAUAUGAGGCGUUGAUGUGUUACACCACGAGAAGUGUGGCUGCACUUCGCUUAGUUCCACGAGUGAACUUAAGGUGAUGAAUCUAUAAUUUUGUAGCACUGCUGUCAGAAGCGGUGCAUAUUGUCUCUGACUCACUAUAAGGUGAUGUUCUUGGCUGUUUAACUAAUAUGGCCAUUACAAUAUCUGUGUACAUGUUACUACAAGAUCUGUGUCCAAAGAUACUUCUGAAACAGUAUUAUAUCAAUGCGCAUAUAUCUCACGAAUAUAGUAUUGCAGAAGGAAGGGGAAAUCAAGUUCACAUUUGGAGACACUAAAUCUCCGGCCGUUCCAAGGGAAGGCCGGAAGGGAGAGCUAACUGCUGACGUCAAUUUACUUCAUUUAGCUGUUGUACGGUUUUUGACCUGCAGCUAGCCCAGAAACCUGUAAAACAUUAAUAUUCUAUAUGCGACUUUAGUCAUCGUUCGGUCAUUAUCGAACUUGGUCUGUGUAUUUCAAUACCGUACUUAACUCCAUAUUUCAGGUUUGUUUGGUGGUGGUUUUCGAGAAA